This 291-nucleotide ribosomal RNA is filed under the name Tiarina fusus. RNAcentral describes it as "Tiarina fusa partial Bacterial large subunit ribosomal RNA". It matches the Rfam family "Bacterial large subunit ribosomal RNA", at positions 343 to 643 of the family's 2925-position model. Lineage: Eukaryota; Ciliophora; Prostomatea; Prorodontida; Colepidae. The record is from RNAcentral.
UGGAAAGUGCCGGCACAGAGGGUGAUACCCCCGUACGCGAAACACCGCAUUGGACACAUUAAGUAGGGCGGGGCACGUGAAACCUUGUCUGAACAUGGGGGGACCAUCCUCCAAGGCUAAAUACUCGUUGUCGACCGAUAGUGAACCAGUACCGUGAGGGAAAGGCGAAAAGAACCCCGGCGAGGGGAGUGAAAUAGAACCUGAAACCGGAUGCGUACAAGCAGUAGGAGCCCUUCGGGGUGACUGCGUACCUUUUGUAUAAUGGGUCAGCGAGUUACGUUUCUGUGGCGA